UGGGGAACUUUGGACAAUGGGCGAAAGCCUGAUCCAGCAAUGCCGCGUGUGUGAAGAAGGCCUUCGGGUUGUAAAGCACUUUUGUCCGGAAAGAAAUCCUUGGCUCUAAUACAGUCGGGGGGAUGACGGUACCGGAAGGAUAAGCACCGGCUAACUACGUGCCAGCAGCCGCGGUAAUACGUAGGGUGCAAGCGUUAAUCGGAAUUACUGGGCGUAAAGCGUGCGCAGGCGGUUUGCUAAGACCGAUGUGAAAUCCCCGGGCUCAACCUGGGAACUGCAUUGGUGACUGGCAGGCUAGAGUAUGGCAGAGGGGGGUAGAAUUCCACGUGUAGCAGUGAAAUGCGUAGAGAUGUGGAGGAAUACCGAUGGCGAAGGCAGCCCCCUGGGCCAAUACUGACGCUCAUGCACGAAAGCGUGGGGAGCAAACAGGAUUAGAUACCCUGGUAGUCCACGCCCUAAACGAUGUCAACUAGUUGUUGGGGAUUCAUUUCCUUAGUAACGUAGCUAACGCGUGAAGUUGACCGCCUGGGGAGUACGGUCGCAAGAUUAAAACUCAAAGGAAUUGACGGGGUCAUAGCUGUUUCC
This 585-nucleotide ribosomal RNA is filed under the name uncultured bacterium. RNAcentral describes it as "partial 16S ribosomal RNA". It matches the Rfam family "Bacterial small subunit ribosomal RNA", at positions 355 to 937 of the family's 1533-position model. The record is from RNAcentral.